RNAcentral lists this long non-coding RNA (270 nucleotides) under Elaeis guineensis (African oil palm). Its description in RNAcentral is "long non-coding RNA (EGUI_LNC039018)". The record is from RNAcentral. Lineage: Eukaryota; Viridiplantae; Streptophyta; Magnoliopsida; Arecales; Arecaceae.
ACACAAGAUAUGUGGCAUCCCAUUUAUUUUUGAUGUGUAAGUUCCUUCACAGAGAAGGACUCUUCCUUCUCUUCUGCACCCAUAUAUCCCAAGGCACCAUCUGAUGGUGCGUGAAAUAAAGAAAUGCGUAGAGAUAAGAAGGAAAUUAAGAGGAGUGGAUGAGAAGGACUCCAUCUUAACACCUAAAAUAAACACGGCCUGCCUUUUUUAUUUGCAUGGACAAAUGGUGUGGAGAUGGAUAAAUCCAGAUGAAACACUUUCAAGUGGAUU